UACGUAGGUAGCGAGCGUUGUCCGGAAUUACUGGGUGUAAAGGGAGCGUAGGCGGGAAGACAAGUUGAAUGUUUAAACUACCGGCUUAACCGGUAAUCGCGUUCAAAACUGUUUUUCUUGAGUGAAGUAGAGGCAGGCGGAAUUCCUAGUGUAGCGGUGAAAUGCGUAGAUAUUAGGAGGAACACCAGUGGCGAAGGCGGCCUGCUGGGCUUUAACUGACGCUGAGGCUCGAAAGCGUGGGUAGCAAACAGG
RNAcentral lists this ribosomal RNA (252 nucleotides) under [Clostridium] methylpentosum DSM 5476. Its description in RNAcentral is "partial 16S ribosomal RNA". It matches the Rfam family "Bacterial small subunit ribosomal RNA", at positions 524 to 776 of the family's 1533-position model. RNAcentral also lists the same sequence under 1 other name. The record is from RNAcentral. Lineage: Bacteria; Bacillati; Bacillota; Clostridia; Eubacteriales; Oscillospiraceae.